Molecule: microRNA, 22 nt
Filed under: Octopus vulgaris (common octopus)
Lineage: Eukaryota; Metazoa; Mollusca; Cephalopoda; Octopoda; Octopodidae
Also listed under: 1 other name
Description: Ovu-Mir-12516_5p (mature (guide))
Source: RNAcentral
UGUCUGUGGGAUAAAGGUUAGU